AAAACGUGGAACGCGGCCGCCCGGUAGGUUGAACUUAGUGUGGCUGAUCAUCCUCUCAGUGUGUGGUAGGUCAUCCUCUCAGACCAGCUAACGAACGCAGGUCGGCAUGCUUAACACAUUGCCUCACCAACUAGCUAAUCAGACGCGAAGCCCCUCCUUGUGGCCAGAGAAUUUGUCCCCCUUGGGAGGGGGACAACAGCUGGAAAUUUCACGCGUUGCUAACCCGUACCCCAUAGGCUGAGGAGCAAAAGGAGGAAUCCGCCACAAGGAGGGGCUUGCGUCUGAUUAGCUAGUUGGUGAGGCAAUGGCUCACCCGUCGCGCCAGUGAAAGCGACCAUAGCGGCUGCCCGUCAUACCGAGUACCC
This 365-nucleotide ribosomal RNA is filed under the name Pogonatum microstomum. RNAcentral's name for it is "partial small subunit ribosomal RNA". The record is from RNAcentral. Lineage: Eukaryota; Viridiplantae; Streptophyta; Polytrichopsida; Polytrichales; Polytrichaceae.